CCCAGGUCAGGCGGGGCUACCCGCUGAAUUUAAG
RNAcentral lists this ribosomal RNA (34 nucleotides) under Silene hicesiae. RNAcentral describes it as "partial 26S ribosomal RNA". The record is from RNAcentral. Lineage: Eukaryota; Viridiplantae; Streptophyta; Magnoliopsida; Caryophyllales; Caryophyllaceae.